RNAcentral lists this long non-coding RNA (561 nucleotides) under Rattus norvegicus (Norway rat). Its description in RNAcentral is "long non-coding RNA NONRATT031908". The record is from RNAcentral. Lineage: Eukaryota; Metazoa; Chordata; Mammalia; Rodentia; Muridae.
CUUACUCCUCUCUCCUUGCUGACUGUGACCUGGACUGUGCAUCAGGGGUCCAGCCUCUGUGGGAAGAAAUAACCCAGCUUUCACAAAUGGCAGCCAGGGGCACUGGUGUUUGGUGCUUUCCAACUGGCUGCAAGACUACAACAAGGAGACACACAAUGAACAUGUGUUGCAGAAACACAAGACGUGUUGUAGGAGUGACCGAGGAAGGCCCACUGGGACCGAAAGAUUUUCAUGAAGAUGCUAUCAGGAAGUUGAAAAGGCCACUUCCAAGAUUCCAAAUGGAUUCUGAGCUCACGACGCACAUGGAGGACCACACAUGCCAAGCUACAGAUGCAAAGGUUGUAAACAUGCUGAAAAAUGUUUAAUGCCAUGCAGGCUAAUCCCCUCAUGACAAACAUGUUUUUCCAACUGUCUUGAAGGCAAGUGUGCAUUAGAAUCUGUGCCAAAGUGUGCGGGUAGCUUCGGCAAAGCCCCUUUCCUCUCUUUCCUCUCACCAAGCCUCACACAAGGGAAAGCCAGCCUGUAUGAUCAGGCAUGUCCAAAUCUCAAGUUCUGUCUGUA